RNAcentral lists this ribosomal RNA (503 nucleotides) under Fusarium oxysporum f. sp. melonis. RNAcentral describes it as "eukaryotic LSU rRNA". The stretch from base 149 to 302 matches the Rfam family "5.8S ribosomal RNA". The record is from RNAcentral. Lineage: Eukaryota; Fungi; Ascomycota; Sordariomycetes; Hypocreales; Nectriaceae.
CCGAGUUUAAAACUCCCAAACCCCUGUGAACAUACCACUUGUUGCCUCGGCGGAUCAGCCCGCUCCCGGUAAAACGGGACGGCCCGCCAGAGGACCCCUAAACUCUGUUUCUAUAUGUAACUUCUGAGUAAAACCAUAAAUAAAUCAAAACUUUCAACAACGGAUCUCUUGGUUCUGGCAUCGAUGAAGAACGCAGCAAAAUGCGAUAAGUAAUGUGAAUUGCAGAAUUCAGUGAAUCAUCGAAUCUUUGAACGCACAUUGCGCCCGCCAGUAUUCUGGCGGGCAUGCCUGUUCGAGCGUCAUUUCAACCCUCAAGCACAGCUUGGUGUUGGGACUCGCGUUAAUUCGCGUUCCUCAAAUUGAUUGGCGGUCACGUCGAGCUUCCAUAGCGUAGUAGUAAAACCCUCGUUACUGGUAAUCGUCGCGGCCACGCCGUUAAACCCCAACUUCUGAAUGUUGACCUCGGAUCAGGUAGGAAUACCCGCUGAACUUAAGCAUAUCAA